CGGUAGAGGUGCAUUGUGUCAUGAGUACUGCAGAUGCAAAAGGGUUGACCGCCCGUUGUCGGCAGGAAAGGGGCAGGUGCCGAAGGCAGACUGCGGUCGCGUCUGUCCUGGUUUGGGUGAAUAAGAUCACCCCGACUGUCGCUUUUGCGGAGAGCUAUCUGA
This 162-nucleotide non-coding RNA is filed under the name human gut metagenome. RNAcentral describes it as "Lysine riboswitch". It matches the Rfam family "Lysine riboswitch aptamer". From Rfam's summary of the family: Riboswitches are metabolite binding domains within certain messenger RNAs that serve as precision sensors for their corresponding targets. The record is from RNAcentral.